RNAcentral lists this long non-coding RNA (389 nucleotides) under Terrapene triunguis (Three-toed box turtle). Its description in RNAcentral is "Terrapene carolina triunguis (Three-toed box turtle) lncRNA (ENSTMTG00000002592.1)". The record is from RNAcentral. Lineage: Eukaryota; Metazoa; Chordata; Testudines; Emydidae.
GCGCAGAGUGGGGCGCGGGGCGCGUGCUAGGCAUCUGCAGGAGCGGGGCAAUGCCCAGGCGUCUCCUCCCCGGGGAAGAGAAAGAGAAACAGAGCCCGGCCUCGCUCCGGCUCUCUGGCUGUGCCUCUCCUCUCUCAGCCCGUGCUUAGCAUUACUUCCCCCCCGCCGCCCGCGCUCCCCCCGCCCUAGUUGCAGGGUUAUUUCAGGACACAGCCCGCCUCUCUCGCUCGGAAGCGCGGCUGAAGCCUGCCCGGCGUCUCCCGCGCUCAGACUGGCGUUUAUCAGCAAAGGUAUUGAAAAUGAAGUUCUAAUGAGUGUUAGAUGGAAUCCUGUGGAUGAGAGUGAAUGGAAAAGGAGGUGAAGAGCUUAUAUGUUUCAGCAACUGUGGG